AAUCCGCCCUUGGGGAAACAGAUACAUGUAUGGGAUGUUUUCUACACAGCUUGGUUUGUGCGUUUAUAAUGUCUGUGGGUGGUUUGCGCAGUCAAUGAAACGUGUUUGGCGCCCUCAAUAUUGAGGGCGCCAUCAAACGCGGUUACACGCAGGUGGCUGGUGUGCAGUUUGUUUACUUGUCUGCGUUUAUCGUGGGUACUUUGGUCGAGAUCCUUCCACUCCAGUUUCAUUCUCAUAUUUCAUUAUCAUAUUUCUCGUUAAUAUUCAUAGGACUGAAGACAUGGUGUACAACCUCCGUCACUCCGUUCCUUUGGAAUAUAUUCAGCGUUAACAUCAACUUCAAGUGGACUUUGCUGAGCUCUGCGUAGGGCCUAGAUGUUGACAUGGGGGCCUACAAUUCACGACCGCCAGCAAACCUUCACGUGGGCUUGAUUAUCUUCUGUUGUUGGUUGAGCCAAUGUCAUGACGGUGGUGCAGGGGGAAGUCAACCAACUUUCCCAAGAUAGAAAAAUUCCCUUAACAAUGUCACUUGUCAGUGUUUGCCUCACUGGAAAAAAAUGUUGCAACCUGAUGGCUGAUGCCACUUCUGCGAUAGUGUUCCUGCAUGGCAUUACGCCUGAGGACAGACAACAAAAGGAGCACAAAGGGGCCAUUGAUCCUCGAAGGAAGGUGCCUAUUGUCCUCGAACGCAGGUGAUAAAAAUCAACCAACCAGUUCUCUUGGUUGGGGAGUUAUUUGGGUGGUAAGGAAGCAGUGGACCAGGCAAUCAAUCGAGCACACCAUUGAGACAUGGAUCAACCUCCACUGAUUGACGGAGUUGUGCUGACUAAGAUUGACACCUUUGAUGAUAAGGUGAUGGCAGUUCUACCAGCUCUCUUCACAUCAGAGAGCUCUCUUGAGAAGCACUAUAGAGGCACUAUAAGGCCCAGGAGAAGGACUGCUUCUCACGGCUAGAACAGACUCAGACCAGAGCUCCCUUGAGAAGC
This is a long non-coding RNA of Patiria miniata (bat star), 986 nucleotides long. RefSeq lists it as uncharacterized. The transcript has 4 exons. NCBI's taxonomy places the organism in Eukaryota, Metazoa, Echinodermata, Asteroidea, Valvatida, Asterinidae. The record is from RefSeq and is a predicted model, not a curated record.